This 71-nucleotide transfer RNA is filed under the name Zygometra comata. RNAcentral's name for it is "tRNA-Thr". It matches the Rfam family "tRNA". Rfam says of the family: Transfer RNA (tRNA) molecules are approximately 80 nucleotides in length. The record is from RNAcentral. Lineage: Eukaryota; Metazoa; Echinodermata; Crinoidea; Comatulida; Himerometridae.
GCUUUAUAUGCAAAAGAAACGCACCCAAUCUUGUAAAUUGGAAUAAAAAGGUUAAAUUCCUUUAUAAAGCU